CUUGGUGAUUUGAGCGGUUUGGAACCACCUCUUCCCAUCCCGAACAGAGCCGUGAAACAAACCAGCGCCGACGAUACUACUUCGUGGGACAAUAGGUCAUCGCCAAGG
Molecule: ribosomal RNA, 108 nt
Filed under: Candidatus Roizmanbacteria bacterium RIFCSPHIGHO2_12_FULL_44_10
Lineage: Bacteria; Candidatus Roizmaniibacteriota
Source: RNAcentral